CGAAGUGAUUUCCGCUUUUGUACUACUUUUGUAUUUGGACAGGGGCCGACGCGGGGACUUAUGGGCUCUUACACUAGUAUUGGUUUGUCAUAGUUGGACAAUUAGGAUGUUUUUUUUUUUUGUGGUGGUUUGUAUAAGGACCCUCCUUAGGGUCUACCUUUUAGUUUUGGUUGUAAUUAUAAGGGUGUAAUAGUUUGAGCAGGUACUUUUGGAGAAUGUAAUUAUAACCUUUUUGGGAUUUGUAUAUAGUAUGUAAGGUACUCUUUUGGAUUU
Coffea arabica (coffee) is the source of this 273-nucleotide non-coding RNA. The record is from RefSeq and is a predicted model, not a curated record. NCBI's taxonomy places the organism in Eukaryota, Viridiplantae, Streptophyta, Magnoliopsida, Gentianales, Rubiaceae.